GUGCCAGCCGCCGCGGUAAUACAGAGGUGGCGAGCGUUGUUCGGAUUUACUGGGCGUAAAGGGUGCGUAGGCGGUUUGGUAAGUCGGAUGUGAAAGCCCAGGGCCCAACUCUGGAACUGCAUCCGAUACUGCUGAACUAGAGUGCAGGAGGGGAGAGCGGAAUUCUUGGUGUAGCGGUGAAAUGCGUUGAUAUCAAGAAGAACACCGGUGGCGAAGGCGGCUCUCUGGAAUGUUACUGACGCUGAGGCACGAAAGCUGGGGGAGCAAACAGGAUUAGAUACCCUGGUAGUCCCAGCCGUAAACGGUGUCGACUUGGUGUGGGAGGAAUUGACCCCUUCCGUGCCGGAGCUAACGCGUUAAGUCGACCGCCUGGGGAGUACGGCCGCAAGGCUAAAACUCAAAGAAAUUGACGGGGGCCCGCACAAGCGGAGGAGCAUGUGGCUUAAUUCGAUGCAACGCGAAGAACCUUACCCAGGCUUGACAUAUAUCUGCACCGCCUGUGAAAAGCAGGGUUUCUUUUCGAAGGUGAGAUACAGGUGCUGCAUGGCUGUCGUCAAGUUCGUGCCCGUGAGGUGUUUGGUUAAGUCCAGCAACGAACGCAACCCUUGUGAUUAGUUGCCACCCGAGUGAUGAGCCUUUCGAGCACUCUAAU
This 652-nucleotide ribosomal RNA is filed under the name uncultured bacterium. RNAcentral's name for it is "bacterial SSU rRNA". It matches the Rfam family "Bacterial small subunit ribosomal RNA", at positions 505 to 1144 of the family's 1533-position model. The record is from RNAcentral.